GACGAACGCUGGCGGCGUGCCUAAUACAUGCAAGUAGAACGCACAGUUUAUACCGUAGCUUGCUACACCAUAGACUGUGAGUUGCGAACGGGUGAGUAACGCGUAGGUAACCUGCCUGGUAGCGGGGGAUAACUAUUGGAAACGAUAGCUAAUACCGCAUAAUAUUAAUUAUUGCAUGAUAAUUGAUUGAAAGAUGCAACUGCAUCACUACCAGAUGGACCUGCGUUGUAUUAGCUAGUAGGUGAGGUAACGGCUCACCUAGGCGACGAUACAUAGCCGACCUGAGAGGGUGAUCGGCCACACUGGGACUGAGACACGGCCCAGACUCCUACGGGAGGCAGCAGUAGGGAAUCUUCGGCAAUAGCCGAAAGUCUGACCGAGCAACGCCGCGUGAGUGAAGAAGGUUGUCGGAUCGUAAAGCUCUGUUGUAAGGGAAGAACGGGUGUGAGAGUGGAAAGUUCACACUGUGACGGUAUCUUACCAGAAAGGGACGGCUAACUACGUG
This 505-nucleotide ribosomal RNA is filed under the name uncultured bacterium. RNAcentral's name for it is "partial 16S ribosomal RNA". It matches the Rfam family "Bacterial small subunit ribosomal RNA", at positions 28 to 507 of the family's 1533-position model. The record is from RNAcentral.